Numida meleagris (helmeted guineafowl) is the source of this 4615-nucleotide long non-coding RNA. RefSeq lists it as uncharacterized. The transcript has 3 exons. The record is from RefSeq and is a predicted model, not a curated record. NCBI's taxonomy places the organism in Eukaryota, Metazoa, Chordata, Aves, Galliformes, Numididae.
UAAUACCUGAACCCAGAAAGUUGAUGAAAAUGUAAUAUUUUAUUAAUAAAACUUCUAACCAAAACUUGUUGGUAGCAGAAUAAUAGGAUUGUUUUGUGCAUCCAUACUUUCCGACAACCAGUAUUUGUACUCUUUUGAUAUUUCACCUCCAACAUAGGAUUUUGAAACUGUUUGCAAACAUUAAUCUUUUAGCAAUGCACUUCAGUAAAUAUGUACUAUAUCACCUCUGAUUCUACUGUACUUCAGGUUUCUGUCACCAUCGUGAAGAUUGUAACAAAACUAGAUGUAUCAUCACCCUAGAACAUUUGAGCCAUAAUCUUGAAAGAGGUCAGAGUAAAGUAUUAGAGGCACCAAAGCUGUGCGGGUUACAAGGUGGAAGGUGCUGCCUGUCCUGGGAGGAAAUUUCCCACGUUCAUGUAAUUGGAAACACUUUCCACUUAGCACUGGUUUCCAAAGUACUGAACUCAAUCCUAAGAAACAUCAGUUCAUUGAAAACAAUAAAAAGAAUUUAAAAAAUGUAAACAACACAAUCUUCCUAUCCUAAAUGAUUUCUUUUAAGCCAUUAGGACACAUUUAUCUCACUUUAUCAUGUGUUUUUUUUUACCCAUAGUUUAGAAGGGGAUCGUGUGCUCCCUGUUCUCUGCAUAUAAAUAGAAAAUCAUGGGUCUCCAGGAGCUGGCACUUCAGAAAAAAAUACACAAAUACAGGAGAUGGGCAAAUACUACACAUUACAGCUCCACUUCUGUUGGGCUUGCAACCCCAGAUGCUACUAUAAACAAUUUAAUUUCUGUCAAGCUCGUGACCCCACUUGUAACUUCCAUGACCCCACUUCUGGCCAUGACUUUUAGGCUGAGAACUGCUGCUGGAGAUAUCUGACUGUUUAUUUCAAACACCAUGCUCAGAGUCACUAGCUUCCCCCCGACAGAUGAAAACAUCAGGAGUCUGACUCCAAGAAACUUGUGAGACAAAAGAUUUUGAAAUAUGAUCAUUUAAAGCCUCAUCUUUAAGGCUAUCUCUCCGUUCUAACACCUCCUCCCCUUCUGCAGAACACAUGCAUGACCAUUAGAGCCCUACAAAAGCGAUCUCUGGAAAAGCUCUAGUGGAAAAAAAAAAAAAAAGUGGCAGAAGUUGCAUGCUAUCUGUUGAGAGCCCAGCUUUUCAUGUAGAAACUCCUGGUGAUUUAUGCCAGCCCAACCCACCCCAGCCCUUCCCACUCCUGGGCAGUGUGGGGGCUGUUCUUGGUUGCCCUCUUGCAACCUCUUGGGUGGUAGCGAGGAAGGCAGCAGCCCAGCUUGCCCCCAGCUUGCAGAGGUGGUGGUGGUGCAGGGCAGGAGCCAGCACACAGCUGGGGCAGCCUCCCCAGGAGCAGUCAGUCUGGCGCUCAUUAGAACCACAGUCCAACACUGUAGCUUGCUUGAGGGGCGUGUGGCCCUCAGUGUUUCUUUAUGAAGCGUAAAGAAAUCCUGAAAUGAUAUUUUCCUUUUAGUAGGAGAAAUUCAGGUGUUGUCUGGCUUGGAAAUCUCCAUGGCAACCGGGGAGAAAGGGGAAACAAUGACAUUAUAAGAGCCAAGAGAGUGAAAGUUGAGCAACUGAGAACCAUUAGUGGCGUUGCCAGCUCUAGCAGUUUUCCUUACAGAUUGCAGACCUUCUGAAGGUUUUGCAAGGAUGAACUGUGUCUGUAGGAAGAGCUCCCCUGACUGGUUGCUCCCAGUCUCCAACCUGCCCCCUGGGAAAGUCACCCAGAUGGGCUGCAGUUGCAUCCCUCUAAAGGACCAGGCACCUGGGAUUUGCUUGCUGCCUGCCCAAUUCCCUGCUCAGCACUUCACAAGAGAUAGGUGCACUGACAGGAGGCUUGCAAAAAGAAGAGCUAAAGGGAGAGCAGAAGCUAAGUGAGCUGUCCAGUGAAUUAAUACCGCUACGUCAAAGUGUGUUUGCAGGAAGGAUAGGUGGGUAAUCAAUUUUGGAUGCUGCAGGGAUGAUGGAUUUUAUGCACAGAAAAUAAUGCAUAUUUAGAUGCAUAAUUAUGUCUGCAUGUAGGGCUGGAGGAGUUCCUUGGAAUGCAAUGUCUAGCUCGUUCGGUGCUAUGGGCUUGAAAUUAACUGUAGGACAGGAAAGUGUUACAGAAACAGAUAACCCCUCCCUAAUGCCUGUGCACAGCAGCACUGACCUGGAGUUCGGGGUAGGUGAGAGUGGGAGAAAACCAAUGAAUGGUUUCUCUGUGGUAGAGCACACUUUGCUAAUUACUUCUUACAAUUGUGCUGUGAAGAACCCUGUUUAAGCACAUAAACACAGUUCUGACCUAUUAUUUCAGGGACUUAAUUUUGAGUGGUAGUCACCAGGUCUGAUCACUGCCUUGUCCUUGUACAAUGGUGAGUUAUUCUGACUUGCUUCACCUGCACUGGUUUAUAGCUGUCUCUUUGUUUUGCUGAUUAAGGAAGUAUGUAUGGAAUGGCAAUGAAUUAAAGGUGGAAGAAAAGUCUGACAGUGUAAGUUUGUGGCACAAACCACAUAAAUGGAGUUAUAAGUUAAUUCUGAAAAAUCUUCCCUUGCUUUUCCCUAGGUAUUUCACAGUUGCUCUGUGUGUUAACAUGUUCCACACAGGGGUCAGCAGAAGUUAACCAUAAUGAGGUAAUUACAAGGUACAUUGAGUACGGAUGUAUGUUAAGGGACAUACAUUAAGGAUGUAGACUAAUGGUGCUACAGUGACAGCAAGCUCAAGACUUGCAGUAAUGCUCAGCAUAUUGAAUGCCACUGUGUUUUCUUAAUAGACUUUAUCAGCUUUGGCUUUCCGUAUUACUGUACGCAUUACCAUGUAUAGAUCUAUCUCUCCGUGUGGAAAAUAAUGACAGAUAUCAAAAAACGGAUAUCAAUUAAUGAUGUGGAACAUGUAAGAGGCGUCUUUGUAUUAUUUAGCCCAAGUCUUCUUCUGUAGCUUUAAAACGACCCAGUGGCUGUUAAAAUGCGAAAAUACACUUUCAUAUAUAUUGUGUGAGUAUGUGAUUUUGGAAAACAGAGGAAGCAAAGGAAAGCUGGUCAGGUGAAACAGCUGCCCUAGCUGCAGAGGAGAGGAAUCACGUGUGAAAGGAGAGCGAAGACAAAACACGUGCUGACAUCAGGAGCGCAGCUCUUGUAAAUACCUGAGCAACCUGUACUGAGGCAUACAGCAGCAAGCAGCUCAGCGCAGAUGGGCAAGUUUGCUCCAGGCUCACUGAGGGGCUACCAUGGGUGGUAACCUGGGCACAGCAGCGCACUGCUGUGAUACCACCACUAGCAGCACCUGUGCUGGUAACUUCAACACAGUCCCUGAGCUGGAUCCUGCAGCACAGGCAGUGCUAAGGGCAAACUCUGCAUUUUAUGUUGAAGACAAUGAGGAACCUCACUGGAUGUCAGGUUUUAAACACCGACGUGUGUUCGGUCGAUGGAUGGUUAAGUAUCAGAAGUCUGGGGAUGCUGCACAUUUACAAGAAGAUGUGUUAAUAUAGGAAGUCACAUGCCUAAGAAGGGUAGAAAAAUUAUUAAAGAGCUUAACAAAAAAAAGUCCUAUGCAUCAAAAGAAGGUGCAGCAGAAAAAAAAAAAAAAGCUUGUGAACACCAAAUUAAACAACUGUCCAGACUGAAGACGCAUUUUGAUUGAGCUCUUAAUUUAGGUAUAGGCUUGACUUCACAACUCAAUCAUUUAAAAUGGUGGUAUUUUUAUCUUCAGUAAUAUGUUUAUGUAAUACACAUUGUGUAUGACACCCCACUUCCAACUGACUCCCUGCAGGAAGAACGCCUCUUCCGCUAACACAACGCGCAGCACGGUUCUGUGCGCCGGGUACCCGCUCUGACCCACAGCCAGCUAGCAAGCAUGCGCACGCACAGUGGAUACCGUACUGUAUAACAAGGGAUGUGGGAAUCAUGGAGCUUACAGGAGUUAGAAAGCCAGGCUGAAGAGCUGGACAGCACUGAGGUCUGAAGAAACCAAAAUGAACAUAAUAAAAAAGCCUGUAUUGGUGGCAGCUAUUGUUAAGAUUAUGCCCAUAAGGGUUCAUCAAGACUCACUGAAGGACUCUCCCUUCCUCAGGCCCCAGAAAAGUCUCUCUGAUGGAGAGAUGGGACAACUUGGGAGGUCCGUGUGAAGAACUGCAUUUUGCUGGAUACUCCUGCUGUUAGCAAAUUGCUCCAAUGGGAGGACCAGGCAACUAACUCCAUCAACCUACUAGAAUGGAUUCUCUAUUUUAUAGAGACAGAUCCUCUGAGUUAACCCAUCUGUUAGAGCGUAAAAAAUGAGAGAAGACAGAGCACAUACUACAUGGAGAGAGCAAACAGAGGCGAACGGGUAAGGUUUUGUUGGUAUCAACAAAGGUUAGUACCUCACUCCUUCACUCUACAUUGAUUUUCAUGCUUUCCCUGUCUCGCUUCACUGAUUCUAAUUCUGAUUUUGUAAACAUAAACCAGUCAAAAAUUUCCACAGGGAACAAACAAAGAACUCCUUGCAGAUUAUCGCCAGGAUUGUGGAAGGGAAAAAAUACAUAUAUAUACACAACCCCACAAAGAAUUCUCAAGAGACCCUCAUCAAUGUUUGGAUUUAACCUAAGCUCCAUGAAAUAUGAACCCACUGCUCUUUACUGCUACC